UCCCUCUUCCCCUGCCACCCGCCUCCCCUCUUCCGCCCUCCUUCCUCCUCCGCUCGGGGCCCUCGGACCCGGCCUCCCGGCCCGCGCAGGCCUGAGGCCGCCUUAGACCCCCGCCCCCUCGCCCGUGGCCUGGCGGCUCGAGACCCUCUUACUGACGCCCCGGAACACCCAGGCAGAGCUGCCCCCCACAGCUUCUUUCCCGGGAGGGUUGUCUGCGUCUGCUGUCUACCGUCUAGCUUCCUACCCAUGUGCGGGGUCGGGAUCCAGGAAUCCUGGCGUCCAAACAGCAAGACCCCUCUGCUGUCCUCCUGGGCGUCGACGGCGCUAUCUCAGUUUCUUGAACAAAUCAUGGUGCUUCCUACCACUGGGCCUUUGUACAUGAUGACCCUCUACCUGGAACGCUCUUCUUCACCUUGUUAUCUGAUGAACUCCUUUUUAUUCUGGGAUCAUACUGCAGUGUCACUUCCUCACAGAAGACGUCACUGACAUCUCCAGCUAGGAAAAGAAAAAAUAAAUUGGUCUUCAUCAACAUGAAAAACUUAUACAUCAAGGACACUAUCAAGAAAGUGAACAAACUAUAGAAUGGGAAAAAUAUUUGCAAAUUAUAUAUCAGAUAAGAAACAUAAAACAUGGAAGAACUCUUACAACUCAACAAGAAGACAAACCCAAUUAAAAAAAUUGGCAGAGACUUAAAUAGUUAUUUCUCCUUAGAAGAUAUACAGUUGGCCAACAACCCUAAGAAAAGGAGCUCAACAUCACUAGCCAUUAGAGAAAUGCAAAUUAAAACCAUAAUGAGAUACCAUUUCAUAACUGCUAGGAUGACUUUAAUUAAAGAAAAAAGGAAAAUAAUAAUUGCAGCAAUUGUUGGAAAGGAUGUGGAGAAAUUAGAGCCUUUGGACACUGCUUUUGGAAUGUAAAAUGAUACAGCUGCAGUGUAAAACACUUUGGCAGUUCCUCAGAAAACUAAACAUAUAAUUAACAUCUGACCCAUCAGUUCCUGUCCUGGGUAUAUACCAAAAAGAACUGACCAGGUUUCAAACAAAAACUUUGACAUGAAACUUCAUGGCAGCAUUAUUCACAAUAACUAAAAGUUGGAAACAACCCAAAUGUCCAAUAACAGAUGAACAGGUAAAUAGAAUAUGGAAUAGCCCUGUAAUGGAAUAUGAUGCAGCCAAAAAAAAAGGGAAUUAAGUGAUGAAAUGAUUUGGGAGUAAAAGUGAUGUGGUGCUCAUUGUGCAUGUAUUAAAUGCCACUGAAUUGUUCACUUUAAAAUGGUUAAUUUUAUGUUAUGUGAAAAAUUCACGUAAAAAUUUAUUUUAAAUAUCCUUUUAAAAAAAAGGCA
Manis javanica (Malayan pangolin) is the source of this 1342-nucleotide long non-coding RNA. RefSeq lists it as uncharacterized. The record is from RefSeq and is a predicted model, not a curated record. Lineage: Eukaryota; Metazoa; Chordata; Mammalia; Pholidota; Manidae.